UCUAUCAAAUUUUCACCGAACUUGUACCCAAUAAAUAAAUAUUGGUAAAAUAGAUAGCUAUUGAUAAAUGUUUACUAUAAUUGGUAGUUACUUUUAGUAUUCUAUUUAUAGUGUUUCACUUUUAACUAACUUUUGAAGGAUAAAGAAUUUUACACCACAUGUGUAAUUGCAUACGAACUGCUAUAUCGACGCAUACCUUUCUACACAGUUGGCAUCCAACAGCAACCCGUGUACGUUCAUUUCGUUUGAACAUUGAUUCAUCACCCAACAAAGCGGCGAAAAGAAGACAAAAACGCUAAGCAGUUUGUAAAUUUUUCACGAUCCUUUCUGUAUUUACCUUGUUUCUCAACUAAAAGAAAUUACAAAGGUUGUGUUUUUUGUUUCUGCGAUAAAUAAAAUACGCACAACAGAAAAACAAUACAAAGUGUUGUGAUUUUUAAGAAAUACAAAGCAAUUGACGCACAAAGUUCGUAAGAACAACAAAAUUAAAAAAAUAUGGAGAACCCAAAUGAAUUUCCUGCACCAUCUGGAUCAACUGAUUUUCCUGUUUUACCCCCGCCUCCGAACUCUGCCAGUCCCAGCAACAAUAAUCAAGCGCAGAAGCGACUGCAACAAACCCAAGCCAAGGUCGAUGAAGUGGUCGGUAUUAUGCGUGUGAAUGUGGAAAAAGUUCUGGAGCGCGAUCAGAAACUAUCGGAAUUGGGUGAACGUGCUGAUGCGCUGGAAGCCGGUGCCUCACAAUUCGAACAGCAAGCUGGCAAAUUGAAACGCAAACAAUGGUGGGCUAACAUGAAAAUGAUGAUCAUUAUGGGUGUUAUCGGUGUGGUUCUCUUAAUUAUCAUAAUCGUUAUGCUCUUUUAUUAACCGGUACCAAUUAUCAGUUGACGAUCAACAUUUAAAUACAUAUAUAUUGAACAUGUUCUCUAUAAGUGUUUGUUUGUAUCUAAAUAUGUAUGUGUUUAGUGCUUUCAGUUUCUUUAAUUUAAAAAUAAAAAGGGGUAAAUAAAUUUUUAAGUAGGAAAAGUAAUAAAAGUUUGCACCGCCGCAUUACGUCUGAAAGCCAUUUUGUUCAAAAUUAUCCUUCCUGCCAUCCGGUGGUAGCAGCAAUGAAUCACAUAACCAAAUUCAAAACACGCCAGGAAAUUAAAAAGCUCAGACCGCAGUGGCCUUACGAUGAUUCCUUGUUGUUUUGAUUGAAAGCAUUAGUCGUGCUUUACAAAACGCACAAAAUGCCAACGCACAAUCAAUAAGCAUUGGAUCGUUUCUUUAAUACAGCUCUAACUGAAUGUCUUUAAACAGUAUACAAAAAAAAAAACAUAUAUAUAUAUAUAUAUACAUAAAUCAUUAUACAUAUAUACAAGUACUUGUAAUAUACAAAAUGUAUGCCUUACAUAUACAACGGAUAUCUGAAUGAAAUUGUAAUUUGAAAUGUAAAACAAAACAAAGUAUUGGUUUAAUUUUGUGUUUGUUUAAUUGUUUUGUAAUAUAAAAACGUUUGUCGUACUCUUAAUUGUUAAAAAGCCGAAAAUCCAUUUGACAUUUUUACAUAUUCAAUAUAUUAAAACGAUUUGUAAAACUAUAUUGCUGUUAUAUGCAUAAACAGAGCAUACAUACAUAUAUAUCUAUAUGCAUGUAUAUUUACAUAAACAAAAUUCUUUAAUGCUGAUUUUAGCGUUUUCGAAGUAUUUACACAAUAUACAUAUUCUAACGGUGUAUGAGAGAAACAAAAAAUAACUAUUUACAAAAUGUAAACUAUACACAUACAAAAUAAAUUAAGCAACAUUUUGGAAAACAUUAAA
This is an RNA transcript of Bactrocera oleae (olive fruit fly), 1799 nucleotides long. It is a transcript of the gene named Vesicle-associated membrane protein synaptobrevin, with no coding region annotated. Lineage: Eukaryota; Metazoa; Arthropoda; Insecta; Diptera; Tephritidae. The record is from RefSeq and is a predicted model, not a curated record.